RNAcentral lists this long non-coding RNA (1510 nucleotides) under Dermacentor andersoni. RNAcentral's name for it is "uncharacterized LOC126548186". Lineage: Eukaryota; Metazoa; Arthropoda; Arachnida; Ixodida; Ixodidae. The record is from RNAcentral.
CUCACAGGAAGCGCCUGAAAAACGAAAAAAAAGGAAAAGUGUGGGGAACCGAGGUCGUCUUGGGCUGUCGCCUCUCCCUCUCCGAGAAGGAAUGAAGAGGUUCUUGGAAAGCAGGGACGGGCGAUUCUCUCUGUCAGCAUCAGCUCCCACCAGCGAGGACGGGGCGAGAAAGCGAAACGGGGCUUUCCUUGCUGUCUAUUUUUUCUUCGUCAGGCCAACGCCGCCUGCUCACAGGGGCGCAGGCGAGUUCCCGCCAAAUGGCGCGGGGGCGCAAGCAGUUGCGUGAGUUGCCGCCAAAUAGCUCUGGAUGCCAGCUCGUUCCGUGUCUCUUGGUAGACUAGUUGGUGCAUUUCUGCUAUCAUGGACUGCGCAUAUAAACGCAAACUACACAAAAGUGACAUGGACAAGAACAGCGCAAGCCCUUUCCAUGCAGUGGAGCCGCCGUAUCUCGCCGUUCAAGAUAUGCGUACUCGAAGAAAAAAAAAAGAGGCUUUACAUGAGAACGGAUCAAGCGUUCGAGAGUUGGGACAGGGAAAUGUGAGACGUACUUUCAUGUAUAUAUUUCUAAUAUUAUUUUUUCGUCUUGUAUUCUCGUUAAUUUUUCUCUAGGAAACACUGGAACGACACUGCUUAAAUUGAAGCACAGUGUGCGAAUGACCUGCUACGCUCGGAACUGUUAUCACCAUUCGGGAAGAAAUUGGAUGAAAAAACAUAACUGUAAAUACCUGUAUGAUAUACGUCUGGUGCAUUGCAGGUAAGAAUGGAUUGUGUGUGGCGCGCUUCACCGCAUGUGGACUAGAGUAGAUCUAGGAACAUCAGACAAGAAGACACGUAUGUGAAACCCUGCGGAUAGCCCAUAUGUAAGUUCUUCCUCAAUUUUUCUUUUGUUGCAUUUUCGUAGUUUACGUGUAAUACUUUGUCACCGCGGUCUCGACGUUAUGUAUACCUAUACAUUUGUCUCGUGGCAGUCUGCGUGCUAUUUUUUUUGUGCAACUAUGUGUUGUAUUCAUUUAUCGCGCUGCCUGGAUGGUUUUUUUUUUCACUGAUAUUCCGACCAAAGUCGGUAAACCUAUCCUUCCUGUCCUCAUGUUUCCUUGGGCGGCUCUAAAGCGUAUCUUAGAGGAAUAUUUAGCUUCAGAUUCCCGCAUGGAACAGAUGGUGAACUUUUUUUCCAGAUACGGAGGAACGGACACCGGUCGUGCCGUGAGCACUAUUCUGCAGGGCAUACUUACAAAUGAAGCUGCACUGCAGUUCAGCUGGAAAGGGUCGCAGGGGAGGAAGCACGCCUUCGUGAAGCUCAUGGCCAUCACGAAUAUAACAUCUGUGAGGAGCACGUUCCCUGACGCUUCACUAGCAUCAAUGGCUGGAGUCGCAAAGCGCUGGUUGGUUGGAGCAGCUGACAGGGAUGGAGGCCGGAAUGAAAGAAGGCGCCGUGACCCUGCUUCAAGCCCACCAAAUAUGAACUAGUGUUUAAAACUUGUGAAUGUGUCGGUGUACAUAUACAAUUACA